CCCUUAGAUGUUCUGGGCUGCACGCGCGCUACACUGAUGCGUUCAACAAGUGUUAACCUUGCCCGAUAGGGUUGGGUAAUCUUUUGAAAGCGCAUCGUGAUGGGGAUCGACGACUGCAAUUGUUCGUCUUCAACGAGGAAUUCCUAGUAAGCGCAAGUCAUCAGCUUGCACUGAUUACGUCCCUGCCCUUUGUACACACCGCCCGUCGCUCCUACCGAUCGAAGAGUUAGGUGAAUUGUUUUGAUCGAUAAGAUUUGACUAUGGUCAACUCUCGUUGUGAAAUUCUGUGAAUCUGACUGUUUAGAGGAAGGAAAAGUCGUAACA
This 324-nucleotide ribosomal RNA is filed under the name uncultured eukaryote. RNAcentral's name for it is "partial 18S ribosomal RNA". It matches the Rfam family "Eukaryotic small subunit ribosomal RNA", at positions 1470 to 1796 of the family's 1831-position model. The record is from RNAcentral.